RNAcentral lists this transfer RNA (85 nucleotides) under Phycisphaeraceae bacterium. RNAcentral's name for it is "tRNA-Cys". It matches the Rfam family "tRNA". Rfam says of the family: Transfer RNA (tRNA) molecules are approximately 80 nucleotides in length. Their secondary structure includes four short double-helical elements and three loops (D, anti-codon, and T loops). RNAcentral also lists the same sequence under 3 other names. Lineage: Bacteria; Pseudomonadati; Planctomycetota; Phycisphaerae; Phycisphaerales; Phycisphaeraceae. The record is from RNAcentral.
GGCCGUGUGCCCGAGUGGACCAAGGGGGCGGAUUGCAAAUCCGUUUGGCGAAAGCCAGUCGUGGGUUCGAAUCCCACCGCGGCCU